CCUACGGGUGGCAGCAGUCGAGAAUCAUUCACAAUGGGGGAAACCCUGAUGGUGCGACGCCGCGUGGGGGAAUGAAGGUCUUCGGAUUGUAAACCCCUGUCAUGUGGGAGUAAAUUAAAACGAUAGUACCACAUGAGGAAGAGACGGCUAAAUCUGUGCGAGCAGCCGCGGUCAUACAGAGGUCUCAAGCGUUGUUCGGAAGCACUGGGCGUGAAGUGUGCGUAGGUUGUUUCGUAAGUGGUGUGGGAAAGGGUGGGGCUCAACCCGUGGACGGCACCUGAAACUGGGAGACUAGAGUAAUGGAGGGGUAGCCGGAAUUCGCGGUGUAGCAGUGAAAUGCGUAGAGAUCG
RNAcentral lists this ribosomal RNA (350 nucleotides) under uncultured bacterium. RNAcentral describes it as "partial 16S ribosomal RNA". It matches the Rfam family "Bacterial small subunit ribosomal RNA", at positions 338 to 699 of the family's 1533-position model. The record is from RNAcentral.